AAUAUUUCAUAUAAUUGUUACUGCACAAUUUCAAUUGAAUUUAGCAAUUUUUCGUGAUUUUGGAAAAUUUGAAUCAAUGUUUAAUAAAAUAAGAAUUUAUAUAAGACGAUAAAAAGCAAAUGAAAUGAAUUUUAAAAAUGAAGGAAGAUAACGAAAGAUGAUAGAUGAGUUCGAGUUCGAGAAACUGGUCAUUUCGCGCGGAGGCUGAAUUUAGAGGUUAAGAGUCAGGAAGAAGAAAGCUGUGAAACACGGGUGUGUCGAAGAGUACGUUCUAGCGUAGCUGUGCGCAAGGGGAAAGAGACAGAGCGGGGCCCCUGUUUCUACCAGAUAAAAAUAGAUAUUACGAGUUUACCGCGGCGCCAAGAUUGCGGGGUAUCGCGACGAUUACGUCAUCGGUAGUAGCGCGAGUGGUUGGAGCAAGGACGCUUGUCGCGUCGGUCGCCGCCGCUGUCGCCGUCGUCGUCGUCGUCGUCGUCGUCGUCGUCGUUGUCGUGACGAACCACAAAUUUUCGUGUCUAUCUAUGAUCAUCUAUAACCAGCUUUCAGCCGUUUUCGACGAACUCGUGGCUCGCCCCAUUCAAUCAUGGCGUUUCGAUUGCAAAUGGACGCACGUGCCGCCAAAUAUAUACGGUCAUUCUCAUCAAAUGUUAUUCAAGUUGGAGAGGUUAAAUAAGAUUAAAGUAACAAAUAAAGAUGGCAAGCAUCUCUGUUUAAUUAAAUAAAUGAGUUAUUACUUAGAAAAUUUUAUUAUCCAUAAAAUUUUAAUAUAAUAUCCUAUUUUGAAAUUGUAUGCUGACAUGGAUGAUAUGAAAAUUACAUAAAUUUAUUCGCAGAGGCCAAAGACUCUGAUGUCUGAAUAGAUCAAUUGUACUUGUUAUGCUAAUUACAAAUUAUAAAAUUGUUUUAUAAUAUAUAUUAAGUAAGAUAUAUUAAGUAAGUAUAUUAUAUGAUAAAUAAUAAUAUAAUAUCGACUAUCAAUAUAUAAUUUUAUUUAAUAAUUAAUUUCUAUUAAAUUCUCAAUUAUUUUAAUAAAAACAUCUAAUAUAAAAAAAAAUUUCUUUAAAAAGUUAUGAGUUUUUAUUUAAUUUUAUGAAACUACAUUUUCAUAAAAAAAAAUAAUUUAAAACAUUUGUAAUAUCAAAAUUAUAAUAAUAUUAAAUACUAAUAAUUUAUCACAUCUUAGAAUUUUCAUCCUUGCUUACUAUUAUUCUAUUAUAUUUAGAAAUAUUGAUCAUCAGAAAAAUUACAAUAAUUAAAAACUCGUUACUUGCCUAUUACAUUCUUCAAUAUCAAGUUGUUAUCAAAUUGUUUUUUUUUAAAUUUUUUUCUUUUUUCUAUAUGUACAAUAUGAUUAGAUUUAUCGAUUAUUGACAAUUAUAGAUUUUCAGGAAUAAGAUAUUAGUCAAUUUUAAAUAUAUAAAAUCUUUCAAUCAUCUACUAACUAAAUGUAUAUUGCUAAAUAGUAUUUAUUCUACAUCAAUUUAUAGGCCAAAGCUAACCAAAUAUAACAUGAUUGGCGUUUUGUCGAUUGUUGUACUAUAAAAUGACAGAUUGUUUAUCAAAGCGUGUAAUAGAUCAAAAUAGAAUUCAUGUUUUUCUUAAACGUGUUUAAAUUUAAUGAAAUCGCAAUAAAAAUUGUUUAUGAUUAAAUGUUUAUGCAAAUUCGUAUUCUUAUGAAUGUAAUUAAAAAAAUUAAAGUAAAAAUUUUGUUAUCUUGCAAAUAUUACAUUUUUUUUAAUAAAAAACUUUUCAAAAAAUAAAAAUUUUUAAUUAAAAAAUAAAUUGUACUUUAAUUAUGAAAAUUAAAUGUUUUAUUAAAGAUUCAAUUAUUUCGUUUACAAUAAUCUAAUGAAUACCGUUAUAUCACGAUUAAUAAAUGCCGUUCGUUCAUUUUAUAUUUAUAUAUAAAUAAUUCAACGACCAUUCAACAUUGCUUACCAUUAUUGAGCUUCGCAUGUUCAGACUAGCUUUAUCGAUUACCGACGAUACUAUGAACCUCAGUAGAAAUAAAAGACGAGUAGAAAAAAAGUAUUCUUACUAGGUAGUAAACUUAAUCGAUAUUUUCAGAUUUUCUGCAAAUAUUAACCAUAAACAAUUGUUUAUGACUUUUAAAAAAUCAUUAUCAUUUAUGCUAUAUUAUGUUGAUCUGAUACAUGGUUAAUUGAAGUAAACUACCAUAACCUCUUCAAAUUCUCUCGUCGUGUUUGCAAUAAAGUUAUAUCCUUCUAGUGUGAUGUAUGAUGAAUGGACACUUAAUCACACUGACAUCUUCAAAGAAGAGUAUACUGACAUUGCAACUUUCUAUCGCGUAGCUAAAUAUUUUUAUGUUUUAUGUGUGCUUUAACUCUUUUAAAAUGAAUUUUUUCAAACUUUGGUAAUUGUAUGUUAAAUUGUACUCGAUAUUCAAUGCAAAUAAAAUGAAAAAUAUAAAUUUUGAUAAAGUUAAUUUAACUUGCAUUAAUAAAACAUAUACUUAUA
Long non-coding RNA from Apis cerana (Asiatic honeybee), 2478 nucleotides. RefSeq lists it as uncharacterized. NCBI's taxonomy places the organism in Eukaryota, Metazoa, Arthropoda, Insecta, Hymenoptera, Apidae. The record is from RefSeq and is a predicted model, not a curated record.